This 301-nucleotide ribosomal RNA is filed under the name uncultured bacterium. Its description in RNAcentral is "partial 16S ribosomal RNA". It matches the Rfam family "Bacterial small subunit ribosomal RNA", at positions 509 to 807 of the family's 1533-position model. The record is from RNAcentral.
CAGCAGCCACGGGAAUACAGAGGGUGCGAGCGUUAAUCGGAUUUACUGGGCGUAAAGCGUGCGUAGGCGGCUUCUUAAGUCGGAUGUGAAAUCCCUGAGCUUAACUUAGGAAUUGCAUUCGAUACUGGGAAGCUAGAGUAUGGGAGAGGAUGGUAGAAUUCCAGGUGUAGCGGUGAAAUGCGUAGAGAUCUGGAGGAAUACCGAUGGCGAAGGCAGCCAUCUGGCCUAAUACUGACGCUGAGGUACGAAAGCAUGGGGAGCAAACAGGAUUAGAUACCCGUGUAGUCCCUGUCUCUUAUAC